RNAcentral lists this long non-coding RNA (219 nucleotides) under Elaeis guineensis (African oil palm). RNAcentral describes it as "long non-coding RNA (EGUI_LNC056963)". The record is from RNAcentral. Lineage: Eukaryota; Viridiplantae; Streptophyta; Magnoliopsida; Arecales; Arecaceae.
GCCUAGCCUAAGGUGCCAUAGAUACUAUUGGCUAUUCUAUCUCUAAGUCUCUUAGACUCUAUGGCAUUCAUAAUUUGCUUGUUAAUAUUUACACUCGCAUCUAUAUGCAAAUGAUAAAGUUCGUCAAUCAAAAAAGUACGUGCAACAGCUUUAUUUUGAAAUAAAUUAAACACAUAUCUUUAUUGAAAUGAAAAUUAUAAUUAUCUUGUACCAGCAUAG